AAGAUUUCAACAAAAAAGAAUCAAUAAUAAGUAUAAAACUAAAUUUAAACUAUAUAAAUGAAGAAUUUUAAAGAAUUUAUCGAACGUGUCGACGACAUGUCGUGUCGGUAUUUUUUUGAAAAAUCACGAGUCAACGUAUCCGACACGUAUCGUGUCGGACACACAUGUCCGUGUCGGUGCAUCAUAAAAUUCUAUAAUUUCAGAAAAGCACCAUGAGAAAAUUAAAACAAAAACACUCACAAAAUGAACUGACGGGGAAAAAAUGAUAUACCUAAUUCUUUUCUAAUUUUUCCUACUACACCAUGCUUUCUUGAUCAGUCUAUGAUUUUUCCAUACAGAUAGACAUCGUAUGGUAUUAAUGAUUACCAUUGAUUUUUAUCUUUUGGGGAUAUAAAUUAUGUUAAAUUAUUUCCUAUUUCAUGUGUAUCUAAGGUUAAAAAGUUGAUAUUAUUUUCUCCUGUACGAAUAAAUACUGAGAUAGUAAUUUUUUUAUUCUUCGCAGGAACUUCAACUUCUCUAUGUAGUAAUUUGGUUUCAAUGUGCUUCAAAAGCUAAACAGAAAAUAGGAAAUGGAACAUCUUAAAAAGGAACCUUUAAUUCUUUCAAAUUAUAAGUAUUACAAUGGAAAGGAGCAAAUCCCCGAGAUGAAUAUCUGUGAGACCUCGCAUAAUAUCAACAAACAUCGGUCAAAUUCAAGUCAGAAAGGCAACUGAGCCAAAAGUCAAAGGAAAAAUAUUGAACACAGAUUUUAUAAUUUGGAAAAAAAAAAAAAAAAUCACGAAAUCAAACCAAACAAAAAAGUUUAAAUCGCUAAAAGGAUAAUAGAUGAGUUCUAAUCCUUCAUGUGUAUAUUGCUAUGUUGAAGCAGAUACAAAACAACACAAUAUACUUAGGACAUCAACAAUAACGAGUAAUUUCUAUUUAUAAUCUAAUUGAACAUUAUCAAAGGUAAACUUAUAGAAGAGAGAAAAUUCUUACCUUUUGACCGAAGUGAAACGAAGAGGAGAAAAUUCCAGAGAUGGACAGUCAGACCUUGCACAAUGUUAACAAAGAAACAAACGUCAAAUUGAAGUAAAAAUAUGUACAAAGAAUUGGAGACCAUUUUUCUUUUACUAAUGAGAAUAGUAAAAUCCAUCUCACUGUCUCAGCAACAAUACGAAAUCAGGUCUGAGAAAUCGAAAGUUAAAAGCAUGACGUUUUAGUCUUGUAAAGAUUUGGAUGUAAAUAAUUUGUUUGCAUUCAUGAAGGAUAUGGUUGGGUGUAUAAGAACUUCUUUAUAUAGCCAAGCCUACAGAAUAAAAGAAUUUUUAUUAUUUUUCCAAAAAAGAGAAAGAUCCAAAAGAUAGAUAUCAAUGAAAACCUCGCACAAUAUCAAAGAACGAACAUCAGAUUGAAGUCAUAAGGCAAGCUGAAGUAGAAAUCAGAAACAAGAUAUUAAACACCUCAUCAGAAGUUAAAAAAUAAUAAUAAUAAUAAUAAAAAAUAUAUAUAAAAAUAAAAAUUGCACAUGGAUUUCAAAAAUUAAAUCUUGAAAACCUGCUCCCCAACCUCUCCAUUUUCAACAUCAAUAACCCUCCUCAUUUUCUCCAAUCCCCUCUUUCAUCUCACAUUUCCUAACAUCAUUUUACCCCCUCCAUCCAAUGCACCAUUAUUAUUAGCCUGAAUAUUUGGUUCAACAGAAAGUAAACUCCAUAUAAACUACAAUAUUUUUUAAUUUUUAAUUUUUUGACAUGUAUUAUUUCAUCAAUAAGUCCAGUCCACAAGCUGACCUUGCUUUCUAUGUAGUAUUAAUUGCUAUAGCCAUGGUGCUUCUAAGAUGCUGCUUUUCUACUGUGUUCUAUCAUUAGGUAUUUGCAUGAAACUUCUGAUGCUCUGUCAGUCUAGAACAAUGAAGUAUCGUGAUUUAUGGUUGGUGUCUAUGCUAGUAGGCUGUAGCCUGCUAGUCAGAAAUUGACUUAGGGUGCAAAUGGGUCUUUCUUUGUGCUUGAGGGAUGAAUUUUUGUUCCUAAAUGGCAAUGUGGAUAAGCAUAUUUGUUCCUUAAGGUUGGGGCGUAGAGAUUCUAGUGUGAAGGUCUUUCUUUAGAACUGGAGUGGAAGUUGGGUCAACUUGCUUAUUUCUUAUAUCAUUAUUUUGUCUAAACAGAUGACGCCACUAUCUACUAAUGUGUGCUUUUAAAGCGGUCUUAAACCUCACAAGAGUUGUGUGUUUAAUUAUAAGAAGUCACAAGUAAAAGGUUUAUUGUAAUGCCAUAAAGUGCACAAGGCAUUAAAGGCCAAAUGCCUUGCUCUCUGGCUAUUUAUGCUAAUUUAACUGCCAUGGUUUUCCUCUCGCAAGGUACUCGAUCAUCAAAGCCUUCUGUAUCGCUUUUGUGUUGACAUUAUUCAGCAUUUUUGACGUGCCUGUUAUUUUGGCCAAUUUCCUUUUCUACUGGAUCAUUCUUUGCAUGUUUACUCUGAGGAGACAGAUUCGACAUAUGAUAAAAUACAAAUAUGUUCCAUUAUCCUUUGGAAAGCAGGUAUGGUGUCUAAAUAUUUUAGCCUCUGUAUUUUAUGGUUUACUUCAAUUAGUAGGUGUUAAGUCCUUAACUUUAAGCUUUCUAUCCCUUUUCUUAGGUAUAUAAGAUUCAACAAACUACCUCCUCAUUCAAUAGUGAGUGUGGAAAGGAGACUUUCUAGAAUGAAAAACGCAUAACCAGUUUGAAUCAUUUGUAGUGUGAACACGAGGCCACCCGAAUAGUUCGAAAAAAGAAAAAAGAAAAAAGAAAAAAUUUAAAAAUGAAGCAAGAAAUAACCCUAAACUAAAGCAAAUACUAAAUCCACACACCUUAGGUCGCCAGUUUCCUAUUUCGGUGCGAAUUUCUGGUUUUUGGGAGAUUCCAGCAACUAAAAAAUAGAAUUGUACACACAGGAAGAAGGAAAGAAUAUUUAGUUAAAAAAAUCCAAGAGUUGAAGGCAAAAUAAUGAGAAAUCAAUAGGUACUACAAUUAUUUCGAAAGAAGAAAAAACCCUAAACUGAAGCAAAUCUGGAAUCAACAUACCUUAUGAUUUUACAGUAUAAAUACGAGAGCGUACAACAAAUUGCAGCAAGAUGAAGAAACAUAGCAAAUCGCAAGAAGAUGAAGACUUGGUUUCACGGGGUGCCUUUCUUCUUGGCACAGAAAAGGAACACUGUGCAGCAGUAGUCUGCUCCGCUAGACUACCUUCCGCCUUUUCUCGAUCGCGUCGGGACGAAAGAAAAUUUAAUUACAAUUUUGUAGAAAGCUUACAAUAGAGAAUUUGAAUACAUUGAAAGUAAAUUGAAUAUUGAUUGAUGGAAACUGAACAUUACAAUUGAUGAAAGCAGAAAAUUACAAAUGCUGGUGCAGGGGGCGAACACCAGUGAGCUUGAAAGAUUUUUGAAUGACUAAUACCCCCUAUAAUAGCAUUCUGAACAAAAACCUAAGUGACAGGAGUAGAUGUUUAAAAGACGAGGAAUCAUACUAAACGUUUACUAAUAUCAGAGCUAUUUUCCAACUGAAAUAACUAUUACAAUGAAAAGAAAAUUACAACUCAAACUUGAAGUAAUAUUUAUAAUGUGCGGUCAAAGUUGGGCAAACUGCGGUUGCGAUAGUGUUAAGGGGCUAAGUAAAGCUGCAGUCCUUGACAUUCUUCCCCAUUUGUUUUGGCAAUGUCCUCGGUACCAUCAAUGCAUGAUAUGCUUCAAUUAAUGGUUUGAAGGCUCCGAGAUCUUUUUUUCUUUCCCAAGUAUUCUCCUCAAUGUUGCAUCCCGUCCAUUUGACCAAGUACUCCUGAUGAUCUUUUCUAGAAGCUCGAGUGAUUCGAUGGUCAAGAAUAGCUUCAUCAACCUUCUUUCCAGCUUUCUUCAGUUCAAACAUAGGUCGCUUUGGCUCAUUUCUAGAUGCGUCCUCCUUAUCAGCAAAGUAUGGCUUCAACACACUAGCAUGAAGGACCUUGUGUAUUUUACACCAUGAAGGGAGUUCAACUCUGUAUGCAACUCUUCCAAUCCUCUUCACGAUGGGUAACGGUCCGAUGUAUUUUGGCGACAAUCUUGAGUCCUUCCCUCUUGUUGGUUUGUAAACAUUUCUAUCGAGAAGUUUAACCAUUACCAGAUCUCCAACAUUGAAUUCAAUGAAACGGCGCUUUAGGUCUGCAGCCUUUUUAUACCGUUUUUGAGCUUUCUCAAGAUAACUCCGAGCAAUUUCAAUAUUUCAUUUCCACUCUUGAGAAAAGUUCUUUGCUUGAGGGGAUUUGGUACUUCGUUCGAUAUCCACUGUAUGAGGAAGUAGCGGUUGUUGGCCAGUAACAAUCUCAAAAUGACUCUUAUUAGUAGAAGAGCUCUUUUGGGCAUUGAAACAAAUUUGGGCCGCAUCCAAAAGUUUUACCCAGUUUUUCUGUGAAGUAGAGAUAAAGUGUCGAAAAUAUUCUUUUAGCAUAGAAUUGAAGUGCUCCGUCUGUCCGUUAGAUUGUGGGUGAAAACUAGAACUCGUGCUCAAAGUUGAACCAAGAAGUUUGAACAACUCAAUCUAAAAUAUGCUAGUGAAACGAGGAUCUCGAUCACUGACAAUGUCCUCAGGCAGCCCCCAGUAUUUGACAAUAUGUUUGAAGAAAAGUCGAGCUGUCUCUUCCGCAGAUACAUACUUAGGCGCUGCAAUGAAAGUUGUAUAUUUUGAUAGACAGUCCACCACGACAAUGAUAGUGCCAAAAUCCUCAACUUUUGGCAACCCAAUAAUGUAGUCCAUCGAUACACUUUCGAAUGGCCGGGAUGGGAUGGAAAGGGGCUCCAGCAAGCCCUUCUUUUUCUGAUAAUCUGCCUUAUCUUGCUGACAAAUAAGACAGAUUUUUGCAUAUAUUGCAAUGUCGUCCCACAUUUGAGGCCAGUAGUAUGCACGUUGCAGUAGUGCACAAGUGCAUUCCUCUCCGGGAUGCCCUGCCUAAAUUGUGUCAUGACAUUUUGUAAUUAGUGAUUUCCUCAGAUCUCCACCCUUAGGAACAUAUAGGCGAUCUCCCUUUGUCUUCACUAGUUCUCCAUUGAGCUAGAACUGUCGAGUUUUACCCCGCUUGAUGAGGUCCACCAAAUAUUGGGUAGCCGGGUCCUUCUCCAUAAGUGCCCAAAUUUGGUCUCUAGUGUUCGUGAAGACUGCGCUCCCUGAAAGAGCAGCUACAGAGCAGAUGGUAGCUAAAUCAGCCCAUCGACUAAGAGCAUCAACAACAUGAUUACUAGAGCCGGGAUGAUACUCUAACAUAAAAUUGAACUCUGAAAAGAAUUCCUGCCAACGAACUUGUUUGCUCGAUAGUUUUGGUUGGGACAUGAAGUGACUAACUGCAGUGUUAUCUAUCUUCACAAUAACUGGAGACCCAAGCAGAUAGUGACGCCAUCCUCUGAGACAAUGGACAACUGCUAACAAUUCCUUUUCAUGUGCCGAGUAACAACGUUCUGUCUGGUUUAACUUUCGGCUCUCAUAUGCUACCAGAUGUCCUUCUUGCAUGAGGACUCCACCAAGGACAAAAUCUGAAGCAUCUGUAUGAACUUCGAAUGGUUUAGCCAUAUCCGGUAAGGCUAAAAUCGGGUUCGUCCACAUGGACUUCUUCAACCUUUCAAAAGCAGCUUGGCAUUGGGAUGACCAAUCCCAAUCCUUAUCCUUCUUUGUCAAUUCAGUAAGUGGCAGUGCAAUUUCUGAGUAGCCUUUCACAAAUCUUCGAUAGUAAUUGCAUAACCCAAGAAAUAAACGUACACCAUGUACAAUUUUUGGUGGUUGUCAAUUUUUGAUGGCUGUAACCUUCUUCGAAUCCAUGCGGAUUUUACCUUGUUCAAUGAUGUGACCCAAGAAACUGAUAGAUGUUUGAGCAAAUGAGCAUUUAGACGGCUUAGCAUAAAGUUCAUUCUCUCGUAGCCGAUUAAAAACUUGUCUCACAUGCUGGACAUGUUCCUCCAAUGUCUCGCUGUAGAUUACUAUGUCAUCCAAGUACACCAUGACAAAAUCAUCUAAGAACCCGUGAAAUACCUGAUUCAUCAUAGUACAAAAUGUUGCUGGAGCGUUUGUCAAACCAAAAGGCAUCACUUUAAAUUCAAAGGCUCCAUAUCUGGUUACCACCGUAGUUUUUGCUUCAUCUCCCUGCUUGAUCCGAACUUGCCAGUAUCCGGACCUAAGAUCAAUUUUUGUGUAAUACUUCGCCCGACUCAGUCGAUCGAAGCAAUCCGCAACCAGUGGGAUAUGAUAGAUAUUCUUUACAGUGAUCUUGUUCAAGGCUCGAUAGUCGCAGCACAUUCUAAGAGAACCAUCGGCCUUUUUCUAAAACAAUACAGGAGCUUCGUAUGACGACUUCGCAGGCACAAUGAUUCUACUCUCCAACAUUUCCCCCAAUUGCUUCCUAAGCUCUUCAAGCUCGGGUUGAGACAUACGGUAUGGUGCCCUGGAGGGAGGUUUGGCGCCUGGAAUGAGCUUAAUCUCAUGAUCAAUCGUCCUUCUUGGUGGUAAUUUCUUUGGUAAUUCUUCCGGCAUGAUAUCCUCAAAUUCCCGAAUAAGUCUUUUAACGGGUUUUGGAAUAGGACCAUUUGCUUCUUCGAUCUCCUCUAAUCGAAGAGUGCACAAAAAAGAUUGUUCAUUUCUCUUGUAACCCUUACUAAAUUGCAUGGCUGAAAUACUCUUCUCGCCCAUCCUCCCAACCUGUGUAGGGAUGACACACGGCUUAUUACCCAUCAUCAUUAACGAAUCGGAAUAUGACAACACUGCUGUCUUAGUAUCCCGAAGAAAUUCCAAUCCUAGAAUAAGUUUGAAAUCAUCCAUAUGAACUGCAGAUAAAUUUGUCCUUCCCUCGAAAGGACCUGCUUUGAUCAACACCGAUUUCGCCACUCCAGCUAUUGGUUGAGCAGUGGAGUUGAUUGCUUUGACUUUUCCACUACCAUUUUCUAGGACAAGUCCGAGCCGCUCUACUUCGGUACAUGCAAGGUAGUUGUGGGUAGCACCUGUAUCCACCACAGCCCUGAUUGGCUUCCCAUUGAUUUUUACAUUAAUGUACAUUAAGCCUUUGGCCCUACAAAUUCGAACCUUCGCUUCUUUCAUCUUUGCCUCUUUCAAUGGAACAUCAUCCUUUUCAGCAACCCGAUGCGACAGUGUGUUGCACCGAUGUGAAAAUGCCCCAACUACGUCCUCAUUCUUUUCAGAGUCAGUCUCAUUAUGACAAUUAGCUUGCGAGGCCUCUUGCUUUGAACUUGACCCGCCACUUGCUAACUGACAAUAUGCAUUCACCAUCCGCUUUUGAGGACACUCCGACACCCGAUGAGGUCCAUCACAUAAAAAGCACUUCAAUUUGGGAGUGGCAUCAGUUCGGCCCUCUGUUGCUUUUCCUUUGUUCCAGUUGUUACUGUUGCUGCCGUUAAAAUUUCCUUGACGGCUAUUAUGAUAGUUUCCCUGAAAGCCACAGGUGCUUUGAUAGGCUCCUUCUCUAUUCUGAGAGUAACGCCCUCCCCCAUUUGGGUUCGAGCUGGGUUGGUAAGAUCUGUUACCAUCUCCAAUUGCUUGAUUACUCCCCGAAGGUCGAUCUUUUCUAGAUUCUGUUUGGUAGUCGCUCAAGCAUUCAGCGGCUCCCAUGGCCAUGCUCAAAUCAGUAACCUUCUAUCUUUGAAGUUUCGUACGUGUCCACGGUUUCAACCCUUCCAUAAAGGUGAAGAGCUUAUCCUUUUCCGACAUAUCUCGAAUAUUCAGCAUAUGCCCUGAGAAGGAUUUCACAUACUCCCUGAUAGAGCUCGUGUGUUUCAGGUCUCGAAGUGCCCGUCGAGCCUGAUACUCGACAUUUUUCGGGAAAAACUGCGAUCUGAUCGCUUCCUUGAGGAGAUCCCAAGAAUGAAUUCGAAUCAUGUGGGCCUGAAUGUCAGCAUAUUUGGUUCGCCACCAUAGUUUUACAUCUCCACCCAAAUACAUGGUAGCUGUGGUUACCUUUCUAGCUUCAUCUUCGAUCGAAACUGCUAGAAAGUACUGUUCCAUAUCAAACAAGAAGUUUUCGACUUUUUUUACAUCACGUGCCCCUCCGUAGGUACACGGUUCAGAAAUUCUGAGCCUAGGAGCAUACUCGGGUACAGGAGCUUGCCCAUUGCCCACCGCACGUUGGAGUACCCACAAUUGAGCUCUCAACGCUUCCAUUUCAUCCUGCAGAUCAGGAAUGAUUGCAGCAGCUUCAGCCAUUGCUGCACAAGCUCUUUGGCUUUCAUCCAAUUGGAUGUGUAAUCUACGAAUCUCAGAUUCGGCCAUCUCGACUUUUUCCUCGAGACCUUUCAUAGCAUAGCACAAUCUAGUAGUUGUCUCAUCAAGCGCAUCCACGCGCUGUUUCGUAGUACCCUUCUUUUGAGGCUCUACCACUUCAGUGGUGUGGGAUGUAAUUGGAUCCAUAGCUUUCUUAUCGAGGGUAGUGAGCCGCAGCUCUGAUACCAACUUUCACGGGGUGCCUUUCUUCUUGGCACAGAAAAAGACACCGUGCGGCAGUAGGCUGCUCCGCUAGACUACUUUUCGCUUUUUUUCGGUCGAGUCGGGACGAAAGAAAAUUUGAUCGCAAUUUUGUAGAAAGCUUACAAUAGAGAAUUUGAAUACAUUGAAAGUAAAUUGAACAUUGAUUGAUGAAAACGGAACAUUACAAUUGAUGAAAGCAGAAAAUUACAAAUGCUGGUGCAGGGGGGCGGACACCAGUGAGCUUGAAAGAUUUUUGAAUGACUAAUACCCCCUAUAAUAGCAUUCUGAAUAAAAACCUAAGUGACAGGAGUAGAUGUUUAAAAGACAAGGAAUCAUACUAAACGUUUACUAAUAUCAGAGUUAUUUUACAACUGAAAUAACUAUUACAAUGAAAAGAAAAUUACAACUCAAUCUUGAAGUAAUAUUUACAAUGUGUGGUCGAAGUUGGGCAAACUGCGGCUGUCAAGGGGCUAAGUAAAGCUGCAGUCCUUGGCACUUGGUGUUGU
This 8947-nucleotide long non-coding RNA is filed under the name Olea europaea (common olive). RNAcentral's name for it is "long non-coding RNA (OEUR_LNC014436)". Lineage: Eukaryota; Viridiplantae; Streptophyta; Magnoliopsida; Lamiales; Oleaceae. The record is from RNAcentral.